This 182-nucleotide ribosomal RNA is filed under the name uncultured bacterium. Its description in RNAcentral is "partial 16S ribosomal RNA". It matches the Rfam family "Bacterial small subunit ribosomal RNA", at positions 1320 to 1500 of the family's 1533-position model. The record is from RNAcentral.
AUGAAGCCGGAAUUGCUAGUAAUGGCAGGUCAGCAUACUGCCGUGAAUACGUUCCCGGGCCUUGUACACACCGCCCGUCACACCAUGAGAGUUGGAAAUACCCGAAGCCUGUGAGCUAACUUUGACGGAGGCAGCAGUCGAAGGUAGAGCCAAUGAUUGGGGUGAAGUCGUAACAAGGUAUC